GUUCUUGUAAUAUUCAUAGUACGAUUAUGAUAGAUCCAUUAGAGAAGAAUGUGAUGCCAUUAAAGACAUAAUAAACAGAGAAACCUGGAAACAGAGCAAAACCACAAAAAAAAAACAGAUUAGUGAAUUGAUUACGUAGUCGGUUUAAGAUAACCAAACCAAAAUAACCGGUAUAAGCCAAGAACACACUUCAUUACUUCAUCAAUGGAAACUCACUGAUGAACAAAUUAAGCUCGUAGAAAAAGCUGGUUUCGGUUUCUUUCGCAAAAUUGGUCCAAUGAGUUUAAAAACAAUUCGCUAAUCUCUGCGUUGAGCGUUGGAGAAGAGAAACCAAUACUUUUCACCUUCCUUUAGGAGAAAUGACUAUAACUUUAGAUCAAGUUGCUUUAGUACUUGGGCUUGAUAAUGAUGGAGAUCCUAUUGUUGGUUCUAAAGUUGGUGAUGAGGUUGCUAUGGAUAUGUGUGGUAGACUGUUAGGGAAGUUACCUUCUGCUGCUAAUAAAGAAGUUAAUUGUUCUAGGGUUAAGCUUAAUUGGCUUAAAAGAACUUUCUCUGAGUGUCCUGAAGAUGCUUCUUUCCAUGUUGUUAAAUGUCAUACUCGAGCUUAUCUUUUGUAUCUUAUUGGUAGUACUAUUUUUGCUACUACGUACUGAUGGCGAUAAAGUCUCUGUUGAAGUGAUGGAGAGUGUGAAAGAUACGUUCACUAAUAGUUUGACGAUUGGAGGAUGGCAAGAGGUGGCGGAUAACAGUGGUUAGGGAAGCGCCGUCGUCGGAAUGAACAAACUCCUAUGCCGAACAAUGGUGGUGGACCUGGUGGUAAUUAAUGAUCUUUCGUCUCUUCUGCUUCCAAAGGACGACGCAUGCAUGAAGCCUUUUUGUAUUAGUUUAUUUUCAUCUUAAAAAUGUUGCAUUGUUUAUGUAUAUGUAUAUCAUCGGCCAUUUUGUUAGGAGUACAGAAGAUUAGAUACAAUGUUACACCUUACAUAGUUACCAUUCUAAAAAAUACAAUAAUAUAAGAAGAAGAAACUUGUGACUAGCUUAAAUAGUUUAAUUGCAUCAAAUAAGGUAAAGAAUGUGCUAGAACGUAUCGUAUCUUGUGGUAGCACAUUACAAAACUUACAGGUCCAUCGAAACACAUAACUCUGAAGUAGAGUAGGUUUUGGAACCAUUGUGAUUACUUUGUUGAUUACUUGAGUCUAGAGAUAUAUAUGUAAGCCAUAUAACCCCAUUUAAGUUUUACCCCAUUUAUCCUCCCAUUUAAACCCAUUUAAGUUUCAUUGAUCCAUUUAAACCCAUUUGGACUCAUAUACCAUUGUUUUGUUCAAAACAAUAAUAUAGUCUUUUUUUUUGUGCAAAACAAUAAUAUAAUCUAUACCAUUGUUUUGACGGAAAUUUUUUUGGCGGGAAAAUUUUGACGGGAUUUUGUUUUGGCGGGAAAAUAUUAACGAUGAAUUUGUGAUUUUCUGUAUCAAUUUAUAAUUAUUUAUUAAUUUCAAAAAUCAAAAAUCAAGGUGCUAGUUUUGUCCAAUAAAAUUUUGAGUGCUAUUCUUGUCCCAAAAACUUGAUUUGGAGCUAUAAAAGCCAAUUUCUCAAUUAUGUACUUGAUUAUUUAAAAUUUACAAAUUAUUUUAUUAAAUUUAAUUGAUAAAUAAUGAUAUAACUGUACUUUUUCUAUUGUUGAAAAAUAAUAUAGUUUUUUUUUUGUCGUUAAAAAUAAUAUAGUUUUGAGAAAAACACAAUUUUGCGGUUUUGGCGUGAAAAAACACAGAUUUGUAAGGACAAAAAUUUGGUGACAAAACACAAUUUCAUUUCUUCAUGAUUUUGGCAAAAAAAAAAACGAUGUUUUGUGGAAAAUAGUUUUUGGUGAUUAAACGCAAUUUUGCGUUUUUGACGGAAAUUCACGGGUUUAUGGUUUAGGCGGAAAACAUUAUUUUAGGAUAUGAGAUGCUUUGGUGAUAAAACGACAUUUUGCGAUUUUUGCGGAAAAACACGGUUUUGCGAUUUUGGCGAGAAAACGCAGGUUUACGGUUUUGGCAAAAAAACACGGGUUUGUGAUUUUGGCGGAAAACCACGAUUUUGCUAUUUUGGCGGAAAAACACGGUUUUACGAUUUUGACGGGAAAACACAAUUUUGCGUUUUUGGCGGGAAAACACCGGUUUACGAUUUUGGCGGGAAAAUACCAGUUUACGGUUUUGGCAGGAAAACACGGGUUUACGAUUUUGGAGGGAAAACACCAUUUCGUGGUGAUAAAACGCAAUUAUUUUAUUUUGGCGGAAAAAACACGGUUUUGCGAUUUAGGUAAAAAAACUUUGUUUUACAUAUUUAAAUCAAAAAUUGAAGUUAAGUAGAAUAAUUUAGUUCUAAUGUCUUUAAUAUAUUGGUUUUUUAUUUUAGUUAUUAAGACAUUAACCUUUUCUAAUAAUGAUAACUAAUGUAAAUGGGCUUAAAUGGGUACCCAUUUAUUUGUGUGAAACCCCAUUUAAUAAAUGAGUUUAAUUGGAGUAACCCAUUUAAUGUUUUCCUUCAAUGGGUUUAAAUGGGUUUAAAUAGGUUAAUUUUUCUUAUAUAUACUCAUUUAUUAAAUGGGGUUUAAUGCCCAAGUUAACAUCCUUACUUGAGUCACACAAAACCGCAUAGCUUCUUCUCCAUUAAAAGUUAGCUCUAUUAAAUAUAAUAAUCUAUGUGAAGAGAGAGUCUUUAAAUAGAGAUGGAAGGGACUUUAUUGUAGGUUGUGACAUCUAAGAGCAUCUCCAUUGGGAGUGUCUCACAUGAGUUUUUACUAAUUAAAAAACAAAAAAUAAUCAUAAAGGAAGAGAGAUGGUGAGAAACAUGUCUCUGCAGAGAAACUCUGCUUUACACAUGUCAUAUUUUAACAGGUUAAAUAGUUACUUUCUGAAUAAUUAUUUAAAUAAAUAAUAAAAUUAUAUCAUAGUUAUUAAAAUAUAAUAUUUUGAGACACGUUUAGAGUGUCUACCGAUAAAGAUGCUCUAACGUAGUGAGUUUGUUAGAGGAGAGUUAUAGAACAUCUCUUGAACAAAUCUUAAUUGUUAGGGUUAUUGAUAUGAGAUUUGUAUAUGCUAGGUUGUUUGGGUGUAAGUGGCUUGCAGGAGAGCUAAUUAGACAGAAGUAUAAGGACCACUCCUGUAAAACCCUAACUGUGUCAUAACAAGCAAAAGUCAAGGUGGUGGUGGUGAAUUGACCAUGGCUCACGUAUCACUCAAAGCACAAUGCCUUUUACCUCACUUACAACCGUAGUCUAGGAAGAAAGUUCGUCCAUCGGUUCAUUGUCCACUACAUUAAUUCAAUUUUAAAAUAUUUGCUUCAGUGAGAGAAGAAGAAAAGAUAAUAUAGCUCAUAUCAAACCUUCGCAAAGAAACCAACGAUUCAAUAACUACUAGCAAAAUACACAAGAAACCUGAUGAACAUACACUAGAAAAAUCAUUUGUCUGCAUAAAUCGAAAAGUUGGAAAAGGAGGCAAAGGAACGAGAGGGUGUAGACUACUCUCAACUGAAGCUAAGUGAAGAGCUCAUCGCUGAAGUCAACCGACUUAAGGUGGCAACUGGUGAGGGAAUGGCAAACCCCAGCCAGUUCGAGGGUUCAAUGUUGCAGCCAUUAGACCCAAACAUGUUCCAGCAGCAACUCAACAGCAAUGAGUUCAAUUUGCAACAACCAUUGGACCCAAACAUGUUGUAGCAGCAAUGCAACAUCAAUGAGUUCAAUUAGCAACAACCAUUGGACCCAAACAUGUUCCAACAACAACUUAACAUCAAUGAAUUCAACCAGCAGCAGCCAAACCAAGAUUUUUAUGGACAAACCUAAGGAAGUUGAGGUGGAUUUGGCAAUCCUAUUUGUUCAAGGAUUUGAAGAUUUAUUCAAGUUGUUUCAGUUUGUGUUUAAAAGGUCAAGUUGAGAGAAUGACAAUUCUAUCUAAGUGUUCCGCUUAGAUAGAUAUAUGAUUGUAUCUGUGAGAGGGUUCAGACAAUUGUGACCUUUUUGUUUUUUUUUUUCAAUAAAAUUUUGUCCUUUUUUAUUGAGAUUUAUUUAUAUUUUAUCCAAUUUGUUCAAUUUCAUAGAAAAACAUGAAAGUAGUCUUCUCAGAUGUUCCUUUUUCCGACUAGUGGAUAAUUGCUUUGGUCAACGCUCCAAAGAGUCGUCUUUUCUUUUAGUUCCUCCUUCUUUCGUUGCCCUUUAGUUCAAGGAGGAACUAAAAGUAAAGAUGAUUAUUUUAAGCGUUGUUCAAAGCAGUCAUCUACUGGUCGGAAAAAUGAACAUCCGAGAAGAUUAUUUUCAUCUUGUUUUUCAAUAAAAUUUAACAAAUUGGAUAAAAUAUAAAAAAAUCUCAAUAGAAAAGAACAAAGCUUUAUUGAAAAAAACAAAAGGUUACAAUUGUGUGAAUCCUCUCAUGGUUACAAUCCUAUAUCUAUCUAAGAAGAACAAUUUGUCACUCUCUCAACCUGACCUUUUAAACAUAAACUAAAACAACUUGAAUAAAUCUUCAAUCCUUGAACCAAUAGGAUUGCGAAAUCCACCUCGACUUUCUUAGGGUUGUCCAUAAAAAUCUUGGUUUGGGUGCUCUUGGUUGAACUCAUUGAUGUUAAGUUGUUGUUGGAACAUGUUUGGGUCCAAUGACUACUGUUGAUUGAACUCAUUGAUGUUGCAUUGCUGCUGGAACAUGUUUGGGUCCAAUGGUUGUUGUUGAUUAAACUCAUUGAUGUUGAGUUGCUGCUGGAACAUGUUUGGGUCUAAUGGCUGCAUCAAUGAACCCUCAAACUGGCUGGGGUUUGUCAUUCCCUCACCAGCUGCCACCUUAAGUCGGUUGACUUCAGCGAUGCUCUUCAUUUAGCUUCAGUUGAGAGUAGUCUGCAGCCUCUUGUUCAUUUGCCUCUUUUUCCAGCCUUUCGAUUUCUGCGCACAAUUUAUUUUUUCUAGGGUAUGUCUAUCGAGUUUAUAAUAUAUAAAACUUUAUGUGACGUCUUUUUAUACAAACAAUAACGUUCUUAAGAUUGUUGUUUGUAUCAAGACGCCACAAACUGUUUUACUCGCUAGGAUACUAUUACUAAGAAAACAUAUGUAACAUCCCGAUUUCAAGAAUAUGGUGGUGCAUGCGUAGAGGUUUAAAAGAAUUGAUUUGGCUACCUAUGUCACCAAAGUGCACCUAUCUAUUUGGUCAACUGUCCUGAGAGAAUUCCACAGUUAAGCGUGCUUGGGCUGGAGCAAUUUCAGGAUGGGUGACCUUCCGGGAAGUGAUUGUCGAAACCGUGUGAGUGAGGCCAAAACACGGGGAAAGAUAAUGUGGUGAUUUGUAGUGUCGGUAAACAAAUCUUUAAAGCCUCCCGGACUUAGCGAAUCGACCGUCAGAAAGGCAUGGGGCCUACGGGCUCGAGAGAGGAUGUGGGUGCUCAUUAGUAGGGGCGGUCGGGGCGUUACAAGUGGUAUCAGUGCCGAACCAUGGCGAGUGUGGAGUCAAGAAGACUCACACCGUCGGGGGUGACGAUCUUGCUGUGCAAUGAGGACGUUGCGAUUUGUUAGUGUGGGUGAAUUGUAACACCAUGGUUUCAGGAAUAUCGUGGUGUAUGUGUAGAGGUUUAAAAGAUUUGAUUUGACUACCUAUGUCACCAAAGUGUACUUAUCUUUUCGAUCAACUGUCCUGAGAGAACUCCACAGUUAAGAGUGCUUGGGCUGAAGCAAUUUCAAAAUGGGUGACUUUCCAGGAAGCGAUUGUUGGAACCGUGUGAGUGAGGGUAAAACACGGGGAAAGAUCAUGUGGUGAUUUGUAAGGUCGGUAAACAAGUCUUUAAAGCCUCUCGGACGUAGCGAACCGAUCGUCGGACAAGCGUGGAGCCUACGGCCCGAGAGAGGACGUGGGUGCUCACUGGUAGGGGUGGUCGGGGUGUUAUAACAUAAGGGAGGUUUAUUAACAUUCUUUUUAUUUUUUUCCCCCAAGUUUCUAGAGCAUAUCCUAGCUGAGAAAAACAUCAAAAACUUCUUGAACAUUGAUGCCGACACUCGUGGACCUUCUUGAAGUCCCUGGAUUGUGGACUUCAUGGUGGCCUUAAAACCAACAUUAAACCAAAGAUCAACGUCUGAGAUUGAAAUAAUCUCGAGAGAAAAUAGUUUCAACCGGGCCUUGUGGCCUAGUGGUAAAGGGGUCACAGCUGUGACUUCCGCCACCAGGGUUCGAGGCAAGGCCACUGGCAGGUUUACAUAGGGGAAUUGCCAGCCUCGUGGGAUUAGUCCUUGGGCCUAGAAAGCCUUUGGGAGACCCGCGGUUAUUCAAAAAAAAAAAAAAAGUUUCAUAAACCUAGUCUAGCCUGAGCAAAAUAACGCUUCACAACUUACGUGCCACUAUGUACUUUUUCAACAUAGGUAAAUCCAGGUCUAAUUUGAGAAGAACCAAGUUUCAGUAAAACAUAAAUAUAUAUAUAUAUAUAUAUAUAUAUAUAUAUAUAUAUAUAUAAUAUUUGGAGUGAUCAAAUUUACGACCGAAUAUCCGAAUUUUAACGGAUAUGCGGACAUCAGAUAUCCAAUAAACGGCAUAGUGGAUAUAGAUCAGAAAGUCAUUAUCCGUACAGAACCGAUCACGAAUAGCUUAUAAAUUUUGAAUAUCCACUAUGCGUCCAGACUUAAUAUAUAUUUAAAGCUUAUAUGCAAUAAUAGAAAAGUAUUGGCAACUUAAAGAAAAGAAGAAUAACACUUUCUUUUGAUAUGUAAAACUUAAGACUCCAUCUUUUUUCUGAUAGAAGGCAAAAAAAAAACAAUUUUGCCAAAACUACAAUACACUGAUUUUAAAAGACAAAAAAUAUAAUAAAAUCUAAGUUGAUUGAUAAGUUGCAUCAUUUUUCUGGUGAUUAUUUUGGAGCAAUUAUUUUCCAAAGUAUUGAAUAUAAAAUAUCUAAAAUGUUUAAAUUAAUUUACAAUUUGUUAGCUUGAUUGAUUUAUCUAAUUUAAAAGCCUAUAUAAUAGUUCAUACACCGAUUAGAAAUAAGCCAGUUACAAUAGAAAAAAUCAACAGGUAAAACUAACCUUUAGUGUAUGACAUCGAUGUUACCCAUCAUAUACAGUACGAAGAUAUAAGAUAGUAAUCAUCGGACUAUUUCGGUUGACCUCGGCUAUGUUUACCGUCAAACCAAAUCUCGGAAACUCUCUCUUUUGCGACGGUAAUGCAAUAUUCCUAUUCAAGAGUCGUCACAAACAAAAAUUUGUAGAAUAUGUUUUGCUCUCGAUUAAUACGCCAUCUCGAUAUUCUUUCAAGCACUGUGACAACCCUUAAUACACCGAUGAAAGAACUUUUCAAUACAAGCUUUGGCGGAGAAAACGAAGAUUUUUUUUAGUUGUUG
RNAcentral lists this long non-coding RNA (7338 nucleotides) under Arabidopsis lyrata. RNAcentral's name for it is "long non-coding RNA (ALYR_LNC001030)". The record is from RNAcentral. Lineage: Eukaryota; Viridiplantae; Streptophyta; Magnoliopsida; Brassicales; Brassicaceae.